Molecule: ribosomal RNA, 471 nt
Filed under: uncultured bacterium
Lineage: Bacteria
Description: partial 16S ribosomal RNA
Rfam family: Bacterial small subunit ribosomal RNA
Source: RNAcentral
GACGAACGCUGGCGGCGUGCUUAACACAUGCAAGUCGAACGGAAAGGCCCUGCUUGCAGGGUGCUCGAGUGGCUAACGGGUGAGUAACACGUGGGUGAUCUGCCCCUUACUUUGGGAUAAGCCUGGGAAACUGGGUCUAAUACUGGAUAGGACCAUGCUGUAGGUGGUGUGGUGGAAGGAUUUUUUCGGUAAGGGAUGAGCUCGCGGCCUAUCAGCUUGUUGGUGGGGUAAUGGCCUACCAAGGCGUCGACGGGUAGCCGGCCUGAGAGGGUGGACGGCCACAUUGGGACUGAGAUACGGCCCAGACUCCUACGGGAGGCAGCAGUGGGGAAUAUUGCACAAUGGGCGCAAGCCUGAUGCAGCGACGCCGCGUGGGGGAUGACGGCCUUCGGGUUGUAAACUCCUUUCAGCCAUGACGAAGCCUCUUUUGGGGUGACGGUAGUGGUAGAAGAAGCACCGGCUAACUACGUG